GCAAGUCGAGGGGCAGCACGAUCUUCGGAUUGGUGGCGACCGGCGCACGGGUGCGUAACGCGUAUGCAACCUACCCUUAACCGGGGGAUAGCCCGAAGAAAUUCGGAUUAAUACCCCAUAGUAUCUAAAUAUGGCAUCAUAUUUAGAUUAAAGAUUUAUCAGUUAAGGAUGGGCAUGCGUGACAUUAGCUAGUUGGUGAGGUAAUGGCUCACCAAGGCUACGAUGUCUAGGGGUUCUGAGAGGAUGAUC
Molecule: ribosomal RNA, 249 nt
Filed under: uncultured bacterium
Lineage: Bacteria
Description: partial 16S ribosomal RNA
Rfam family: Bacterial small subunit ribosomal RNA
Source: RNAcentral